UCAAAAUGAAUCAAAACUUUCAACAACGGAUCUCUUGGUUCUGGCAUCGAUGAAGAACGCAGCGAAAUGCGAUAAGUAAUGUGAAUUGCAGAAUUCAGUGAAUCAUCGAAUCUUUGAACGCACAUUGCGCCCGCCAGUAUUCUGGCGGGCAUGCCUGUCC
Molecule: ribosomal RNA, 160 nt
Filed under: Trichoderma atroviride
Lineage: Eukaryota; Fungi; Ascomycota; Sordariomycetes; Hypocreales; Hypocreaceae
Also listed under: 1 other name
Description: 5.8S ribosomal RNA
Rfam family: 5.8S ribosomal RNA
About the family: 5.8S ribosomal RNA (5.8S rRNA) is a component of the large subunit of the eukaryotic ribosome. It is transcribed by RNA polymerase I as part of the 45S precursor that also contains 18S and 28S rRNA.
Source: RNAcentral